AUCCUGGCUCAGGAUGAACGCUAGCGACAGGCUUAACACAUGCAAGUCGAGGGGCAGCAUGAUUUGUAGCAAUACAGAUUGAUGGCGACCGGCGCACGGGUGAGUAACGCGUAUGCAACUUACCUAUCAGAGGGGGAUAGCCCGGCGAAAGUCGGAUUAAUACCCCAUAAAACAGGGGUCCCGCAUGGGAAUAUUUGUUAAAGAUUCAUCGCUGAUAGAUAGGCAUGCGUUCCAUUAGG
RNAcentral lists this ribosomal RNA (239 nucleotides) under uncultured bacterium. RNAcentral describes it as "partial 16S ribosomal RNA". It matches the Rfam family "Bacterial small subunit ribosomal RNA", at positions 16 to 245 of the family's 1533-position model. The record is from RNAcentral.